AUGUGGCUAAUGGUGAUGGUGAGGUAGUAGAACAGGUAAUUGGGCAGCAAACCAAUGACCAAGAUGAGAGCAUUCUUGAUGGAAUAAUCAGGGAGCUGCAGAGAGAACAAGACCUGAGACUAAUUAAUGAAGGAGAUGUUCCACAUUUUCCAGUUAAUAGAGCAUACUCUGUUAAUGGUGCUCUGAGAAGUCCAAACAUGGACAUAUCUUCUUCCCCAAACAUGAGGCUUCGAAGACAUAGUAGUCAAAUCGAAGGUGUUAGACAAAUGCAUAACAAUGCUCCUCGGAGCCAGAUGGCCACUGAAAGAGAUCUCAUGGCAUGGAGCAGAAGAGUGGUGGUCAAUGAACUAAAUAAUGGGGUUAGUAGGGUACAGGAAGAAUGUCGAACUGCAAAAGGUGACAUAGAAAUCAGUCUUUAUACAGUUGAAAAGAAGAAAAAGCCAUCUUACACUACUCAAAGGAAUGAUUAUGAGCCUAGCUGUGGGCGUUCUUUACGCAGGACACAGCGCAAACGUCAGCAUACUUACCAAACACGGUCCAACAUAGAGCAUAAUUCACAAGCAUCAUGUCAAAACUCAGGUGUACAGGAAGACUCAGACAGCUCCUCAGAGGAAGAUGAAACUGUUGGCACAAGUGAUGCUUCAGUAGAGGAUCCUGUUGUUGAAUGGCAAAGUGAAAGUUCUUCCAGUGAUUCAUCAAGUGAAUAUUCUGAUUGGACAGCAGAUGCUGGAAUAAAUUUACAGCCCCCAAAAAGACAAACCAGACAGACAACACGUAAAAUAUGCAGCAGCUCUGAUGAGGAAAAUUUGAAGUCCCUAGAAGAAAGGCAGAAGAAACCUAAGCAGACUAGAAAGAAGAAAGGAGGACUGGUUUCUAUGGCAGGUGAGCCUAAUGAAGAAUGGUUUGCCCCUCAGUGGAUCUUGGAUACUAUACCCCGACGUUCCCCAUUUGUCCCACAAAUGGGAGAUGAGCUUAUCUAUUUUAGGCAAGGACAUGAAGCUUAUGUUCGGGCUGUAAGGAAAUCAAAAAUAUACAGUGUUAAUUUACAAAAACAGCCAUGGAACAAAAUGGAUCUCAGGGAGCAAGAGUUUGUUAAGAUUGUAGGAAUCAAAUAUGAGGUUGGCCCACCCACACUGUGCUGCUUGAAGCUUGCAUUUCUGGACCCAAUUUCAGGCAAAAUGACUGGAGAAUCUUUUUCCAUUAAGUAUCAUGACAUGCCGGAUGUCAUUGACUUCCUUGUGCUACAUCAGUUUUAUAAUGAAGCCAAAGAAAGGAACUGGCAGAUUGGUGAUAGAUUCCGCAGUAUAAUAGAUGACGCCUGGUGGUUUGGGACUGUGGAGAGUCAGCAGCCUUUUCAACCAGAGUAUCCUGAUAGUUCUUUCCAGUGUUACAGUGUUCACUGGGACAAUAAUGAGAGAGAAAAGAUGAGCCCAUGGGAUAUGGAGCCAAUUCCAGAAGGAACUGCCUUUCCAGAUGAAGUUGGUGCUGGUGUUCCUGUCUCCCAGGAAGAAUUGACUGCUUUGCUAUACAAACCCCAGGAAGGAGAGUGGGGGGCUCAUUCCAGAGAUGAAGAAUGUGAACGGGUUAUUCAGGGCAUCAACCACCUUCUUUCCCUGGAUUUUGCCAGCCCUUUUGCUGUUCCAGUGGAUCUCAGUGCCUACCCCUUGUAUUGUACUGUAGUUGCUUAUCCAACUGACCUCAAUACCAUCAGGCGGAGACUUGAAAAUCGCUUUUACAGGAGAAUAUCAGCAUUAAUGUGGGAGGUACGCUAUAUUGAGCAUAAUGCCAGGACUUUCAAUGAGCCAGACAGUCCUAUAGUUAAAGCAGCUAAAAUUGUAACUGAUGUCUUACUUCGAUUUAUUGGGGAUCAGAGCUGUACUGAUAUACUGGAUACUUAUAAUAAAAUUAAAGCAGAAGAACGAAACAGCACUGAUGCAGAGGAGGAUACAGAAAUGGUUGAUUUAGAUUCAGACGGUCCUGGUACUUCAUCUGGAAGAAGGGUCAAAUGCCGAGGCAGAAGACAGUCUUUAAAGUGUAAUCCUGAUGCUUGGAAAAAACAAUGCAAGGAACUAUUGAGCCUCAUUUAUGAACGUGAAGACUCAGAGCCAUUUCGACAGCCAGCCGAUCUUCUUUCUUACCCAGGUCAUCAGGAGCAAGAGGGAGAAUCCUCAGAGUCUGUUGUUCCAGAAAGACAACAAGAUUCAUCUCUUUCUGAGGAUUAUCAAGAUGUUAUAGAUACUCCUGUGGACUUCAGCACUGUGAAAGAAACUUUGGAAGCAGGAAACUAUGAUCUAUAGCAUGAUGCUGCGAUUAUCUGCCUUAUUUGAAAGUCAUAUCAAAAAUAUCAUCUCUGAAUAUAAGUCAGCAAUCCAGAGUCAGAAGAGGAGAAGGCCACGGUACAGAAAACGUCUAAGAAGCAGCAGCAGUUCAUUAUCUAGUAGUGGAGCACCUAGCCCAAAAGGGAAGCAGAAACAAAUGAAGUUGCAGCCUAAAAAUGACCAGAAUACCUCAGUAUCUUAUGCCAGGACUAGCUCUCCUUUCUCAUCUCCUGUUUCAGAUGCUGCUGAAGGGCUUUCACUAUAUCUACUUGAUGAUGAGCCAGAUGGGCCAUUUUCUUCAUCGACCUUCGGUGGAUAUAGCCGAAGUGGAAAUAGCCAUGACCCAGGGAAAGCCAAAUCAUUUCGGAAUAGAGUUUUGCCAGUUAAACAAGAUCACUCCCUUGAUGGACCCAUUACAAAUGGUGAUGGCAGAGAGCCCCGGACAGGAAUCAAGAGAAAACUACUUAGUGCAUCAGAAGAAGAUGAAAACAUGGGAGGAGAAGAUAAAGAG
RNAcentral lists this small RNA (2829 nucleotides) under Pongo abelii (Sumatran orangutan). RNAcentral describes it as "processed transcript". The record is from RNAcentral. Lineage: Eukaryota; Metazoa; Chordata; Mammalia; Primates; Hominidae.